CCCAGAGUUCUGGUAAGGUAGAGAGAAUGAAUAGAACUAUUAAGAAUCAGUUGGCUAAAAUGUGUCAGGAAACCCAACUUAAGUGGAACGUUCUCUUGCCCAUAGCUCUAUUGCGAAUCCAUAGUACACCUACCAGAAGGAUGGGCCUCUCUCCUUUUGAAAUCAUGUACGGGCGACCACCUCCCGUGCUUGGUGACUUAAGGGGGGAUUUGAGUCAGUUGGGAGAAGGAAUUACCCGGCAGCAGGUUGUAGAGUUGGGUAAGACUAUGGAGGAGGUACAGAAAUGGGUACAAGAUAGA
Molecule: non-coding RNA, 299 nt
Organism: Pelobates cultripes (western spadefoot toad)
Lineage: Eukaryota; Metazoa; Chordata; Amphibia; Anura; Pelobatidae
Source: the annotation of a GenBank genome assembly